GAUGAACGCUGGCGGCGUGCCUAAUACAUGCAAGUCGAGCGAACAGACGAGGAGCUUGCUCCUCUGACGUUAGCGGCGGACGGGUGAGUAACACGUGGAUAACCUACCUAUAAGACUGGGAUAACUUCGGGAAACCGGAGCUAAUACCGGAUAAUAUAUUGAACCGCAUGGUUCAAUAGUGAAAGACGGUUUUGCUGUCACUUAUAGAUGGAUCCGCGCCGCAUUAGCUAGUUGGUAAGGUAACGGCUUACCAAGGCGACGAUGCGUAUCCGACCUGAGAGGGUGAUCGGCCACACUGGAACUGAGACACGGUCCAGACUCCUACGGGAGGCAGCAGUAGGGAAUCUUCCGCAAUGGGCGAAAGCCUGACGGAGCAACGCCGCGGGAGUGAUGAAGGUCUUCGGAUCGUAAAACUCUGUUAUUAGUGAAGAACAAAUGUGUAAGUAACUAUGCACGUCUUGACGGUACCUAAUCAGAAAGCAACGGCUAACUACGUG
This 497-nucleotide ribosomal RNA is filed under the name uncultured bacterium. RNAcentral describes it as "partial 16S ribosomal RNA". It matches the Rfam family "Bacterial small subunit ribosomal RNA", at positions 28 to 507 of the family's 1533-position model. The record is from RNAcentral.